This 1473-nucleotide ribosomal RNA is filed under the name uncultured Spirochaetota bacterium. Its description in RNAcentral is "bacterial SSU rRNA". It matches the Rfam family "Bacterial small subunit ribosomal RNA". The record is from RNAcentral. Lineage: Bacteria; Pseudomonadati; Spirochaetota.
GCUCACAACGAACGCUAGCAGGUGCGUUUUAAGCCAUGCAAGUCGAACGGUAUUAUCGUUCUAUUUUAUAGAAUGAUAAGAGAGUGGCGAACGGGUGAGUAACACGUAGGUAAUCUGCCUAUCAAAUUGGGAUAGCCAGUGGGAACACUGAGUAAUACCAAAUACGUACUAUGUGAGGAAUUGCAUAGUAGAAAGGGUACAUCUGUGCCGUUGAUAGAGGAGCCUGCGCUUGAUUAGCUAGUUGGUGGGGUAAGAGCCCACCAAGGCGACGAUCAAUAGCCGGCCUGAGAGGGUGAACGGCCACACUGGGACUGAGACACGGCCCAGACUCCUACGGGAGGCAGCAGCUAAGAAUCUUCCGCAAUGGGCGAAAGCCUGACGGAGCGACACCGCGUGAAUGAAGAAGGCCGUGAGGUUGUAAAAUUCUUUUCUUGUUGAGGAAUAAAUAUUAUGCGCAAGUGUAAUAUGAUGACGGUAGGCAAGGAAUAAGCCCCGGCUAAUUACGUGCCAGCAGCCGCGGUAAUACGUAAGGGGCGAGCGUUGUUCGGAAUUAUUGGGCGUAAAGGGUACGUAGGCGGAUUAACAGGCAUUAAGAUAAAGCCAACAGCUCAACUGUUGUUAAUUUUAAUGAACCGUUAAUCUAGAGUUAUAGAGGGGAAACUGGAAUUCCUGGUGUAAGGGUGAAAUCUGUAGAUAUCAGGAGGAACAUCAGAGGCGAAGGCGAGUUUCUGGCUAAUAACUGGCGCUGAGGUACGAAAGCGUGGGGAGCGAACGGGAUUAGAUACCCCGGUAGUCCACGCCGUAAACGAUGUGCACUAGGUGGUGGAUCUGCGAAGAUUCACUACCGUAGCUAACGUGUUAAGUGCACCGCCUGGGGAGUAUGCUCGCAAGGGUGAAACUCAAAGGAAUUGACGGGGGCCCGCACAAGCGGUGGAGCAUGUGGUUUAAUUCGAUGAUACGCGAGAAACCUUACCAGGACUUGACAUAUACAGGAAAUCAUAAGAGAUUAUGGUGUCUUUCGAGACUUGUAUACAGGUGCUGCAUGGCUGUCGUCAGCUCGUGCUGUGAGGUGUUGGGUUAAGUCCCGCAACGAGCGCAACCCCUACUGUCUGUUGCCAGCGCAUAAUGGCGGGGACUCAGGCAGGACUGCCGGUAAAAAAUCGGAGGAAGGUGGGGACGACGUCAAGUCAUCAUGGCCCUUACGUCCUGGGCUACACACGUGCUACAAUGGCCGGUACAGUGCGGAGCAAUAUAGCAAUAUGGAGCAAAUCGCCAAAACCGGUCUCAGUUCGGAUUGGAGUCUGCAACUCGACUCCAUGAAGGUGGAAUCGCUAGUAAUCGCGCAUCAGCAUGGCGCGGUGAAUGUGUUCCCGGGCCUUGUACACACCGCCCGUCACACCACCCGAGUUGGGGAUACUCGAAGCCAUUAGCCUAACCGUAAGGAGGGCGAUGUCGAAGGUAUGCUUAGUAAGG